This 496-nucleotide ribosomal RNA is filed under the name uncultured bacterium. RNAcentral describes it as "partial 16S ribosomal RNA". It matches the Rfam family "Bacterial small subunit ribosomal RNA", at positions 28 to 506 of the family's 1533-position model. The record is from RNAcentral.
GAUGAACGCUGGCGGCGUGCCUAAUACAUGCAAGUCGAGCGAACGGACGAGAAGCUUGCUUUUCUGAUGUUAGCGGCGGACGGGUGAGUAACACGUGGAUAACCUACCUAUAAGACUGGGAUAACUUCGGGAAACCGGAGCUAAUACCGGAUAAUAUUUUGAACCGCAUGGUUCAAAAGUGAAAGGCGGUCUUGCUGUCACUUAUAGAUGGAUCCGCGCUGCAUUAGCUAGUUGGUAAGGUAACGGCUUACCAAGGCAACGAUGCAUAGCCGACCUGAGAGGGUGAUCGGCCACACUGGAACUGAGACACGGUCCAGACUCCUACGGGAGGCAGCAGUAGGGAAUCUUCCGCAAUGGGCGAAAGCCUGACGGAGCAACGCCGCGUGAGUGAUGAAGGUCUUCGGAUCGUAAAACUCUGUUAUUAGGGAAGAACAUAUGUGUAAGUAACUGUGCACAUCUUGACGGUACCUAAUCAGAAAGCCACGGCUAACUACGU